RNAcentral lists this long non-coding RNA (234 nucleotides) under Mytilus galloprovincialis (Mediterranean mussel). The record is from RNAcentral. Lineage: Eukaryota; Metazoa; Mollusca; Bivalvia; Mytilida; Mytilidae.
UCCACACAGACAAUAAAACUAUACUUUAGUUAAUUGAUUUUUCAUUAUUUGUCCAGGUUUUUGGUUAAUUGGUCAGUUGGUUAAAAUUAAGAAAAAACAAAGUUAUAUCUUUUACAUAGAGAAAGGCACUUGUCAUUAGCUAUUUUAUCAAAUUACACAUGUUACACUGUACUUGUCUACAUUCUUUUAAACAAGAGGAAUAACUUAUGGUUUAAUAAAAAUCACCAAUAUUAG